Molecule: long non-coding RNA, 548 nt
Filed under: Homo sapiens (human)
Lineage: Eukaryota; Metazoa; Chordata; Mammalia; Primates; Hominidae
Description: non-protein coding TP53TG1:1
Source: RNAcentral
GACGGACAGCUGCAAGGGUCCCGCCCCGUGCCUGACGUCGGGGGCGAGCCGGGCCUGCGCGGUAGUGGGACCCGACCCUGUCUCCAGUGGGCGUCUUGGGCCCCGGCUCUAUUCUGGGCUGCGGGCCUGGGAAGGGCUCGCCGGGUGCCAAAUGAGCUGUCCUAACUCUGCGGGGCUGCAGCUUCCUGCAUGAUGCUGGGGAGCUUGGCGCCUGACCCAGGAUCUAGAAGGCACUCUGGGCAGGCCGCGCUCCGCCCACGAAGGUUUAACCACCAAGGACUCUGAGAGCUGGCAGGUCUGAGUAACCCUGGUAACAAUUCUCUUCACCUUAUCAAAACCUGAGCUAAAACCAAUGCAUCAGCUGAUGAUGACAGCAGAGAGUGGCAGGGCUGAGGACCCAAAGUCAUUUCCCAGGCUGGCGGAGAAUAAACUGCCAGGGAGAAGAAUGAGAAGACAGGAGACAAACUGUUUGGAAAGCUAAAUCUUCCCUCUUAAUGAAUAAAGGUUUUUGCCUUGUCUUAAAGUUUCUGAGUCCUAAUUUUGGCAAA